AGGCAGGAUCUUGUUACAACAGAGCUGUGAAGUGCUGUGUUGUCUUUGUCCUGCUCAAAAUAAACCUGUUACCUUCCAGGCCCUGCCUGCCAUGUGCCUGGCUGCAGGCAGGGAUGCUUGGUCUCAGACAC
Perognathus longimembris pacificus (Pacific pocket mouse) is the source of this 131-nucleotide small nucleolar RNA. RefSeq annotates it as small nucleolar RNA SNORA63. NCBI's taxonomy places the organism in Eukaryota, Metazoa, Chordata, Mammalia, Rodentia, Heteromyidae. The record is from RefSeq and is a predicted model, not a curated record. The transcript has a single exon.